GAUGAACGCUAGCUACAGGCUUAACACAUGCAAGUCGAGGGGUAACAUGGCGGGAGCUUGCUCCUGCUGAUGACGACCGGCGCACGGGUGAGUAACGCGUAUCCAACCUGCCCAUGACUCAGGGAUAACCUUCCGAAAGGGAGCCUAAUACCUGAUGUUCUGCGACGAUGGCAUCAGAAUUGCAGUAAAGAUUCAUCGGUCAUGGAUGGGGAUGCGUCUGAUUAGGUUGCAGGCGGGGUAACGGCCCACCUGGCCUACGAUCAGUAGGGGUUCUGAGAGGAAGGUCCCCCACACUGGUACUGAGACACGGACCAGACUCC
This 320-nucleotide ribosomal RNA is filed under the name uncultured Prevotella sp. RNAcentral describes it as "bacterial SSU rRNA". It matches the Rfam family "Bacterial small subunit ribosomal RNA", at positions 28 to 339 of the family's 1533-position model. Lineage: Bacteria; Pseudomonadati; Bacteroidota; Bacteroidia; Bacteroidales; Prevotellaceae. The record is from RNAcentral.